This 147-nucleotide unclassified non-coding RNA is filed under the name soil metagenome. RNAcentral's name for it is "partial internal transcribed spacer 1". The record is from RNAcentral.
CCGAGUUUACAACUCCCAAACCCCUGUGAGCAUACCAAUUGUUGCCUCGGCGGAUCAGCCCGCUCCCGGUAAAACGGGACGGCCCGCCAGAGGACCCCUAAACUCUGUUUCUAUAUGUAACUUCUGAGUAAAACCAUAAAUAAAUCA